Molecule: non-coding RNA, 30 nt
Filed under: Rattus norvegicus (Norway rat)
Lineage: Eukaryota; Metazoa; Chordata; Mammalia; Rodentia; Muridae
Source: RNAcentral
UGGCCUUACAAGUAAGAACCCACCUUUGAG